RNAcentral lists this ribosomal RNA (431 nucleotides) under uncultured bacterium. Its description in RNAcentral is "partial 16S ribosomal RNA". It matches the Rfam family "Bacterial small subunit ribosomal RNA", at positions 29 to 507 of the family's 1533-position model. The record is from RNAcentral.
AACGAACGCUGGCGGCAGGCUUAACACAUGCAAGUCGAACGCCCCGCAAGGGGAGUGGCGCACGGGUGAGUAACGCGUGGAUAUCUGCCUUUUGGUUCGGAAUAACCCCGGGAAACUGGGGCUAAUACCGGAUGGUUCCUACGGGAUAAAGAUUUAUCGCCAAAAGAUGAGUCCGCGUACGAUUAGCUAGUUGGUGAGGUAAUGGCUCACCAAGGCGACGAUCGUUAGCUGGUCUGAGAGGGCGAUCAGCCACACUGGGACUGAGACACGGCCCAGACUCCUACGGGAGGCAGCAGUGGGGAAUAUUGGACAAUGGGGGCAACCCUGAUCCAGCCAUGCCGCGUGAGUGAUGAAGGCCUUCGGGUUGUAAAGCUCUUUUGGCGGGGACGAUGAUGACGGUACCCGCAGAAUAAGCCCCGGCUAACUUCGUG